CAUGCAAGUCGAGCCGGAUUGAUGGAGCUUGCUCCCUGAUAUCAGCGGCGGACGGGUGAGUAACACGUGGGUACCUGCCUGUAAGACUGGGAUAACUCCGGGAAACCGGGGCUAAUACCGGUAACUCAUUUCCUCGCAUGAGGAAAUGUUGAAAGGUGGCUUUUAGCUACACUUACAGAUGGACCCGCGGCGCAUUAGCUAGUUGGUGAGGUAACGGCUACCAAGGCAACGAUGCGUAGCCGACCUGAGAGGGUGAUCGGCCACACUGGACUGAGACACCGCCCAGACUCCUACGGGAGGCAGCAGUAGGGAAUCUUCGCAAUGGACGAAAGUCUGACGGAGCAACGCCGCGUGAGUGAUGAAGGUUUCGGAUCGUAAAGCUCUGUUGUUAGGGAAGAACAAGUACCGUUCGAAUGGCCGGUACCUUGACGGUACCUAACCAGAAAGCCACGCCUAACUACGUGCAGCAGCCGCGGUAAU
Molecule: ribosomal RNA, 480 nt
Filed under: uncultured bacterium
Lineage: Bacteria
Description: bacterial SSU rRNA
Rfam family: Bacterial small subunit ribosomal RNA
Source: RNAcentral